UUGAAACUCCGCUAUCCGUACAAUCACGGAAGUUAAGCAACCAUGUGUGUGCUCAGUACCUAGAUGGGUGACCGCGUGGGAAUACUAGAUUCUGU
Molecule: non-coding RNA, 95 nt
Organism: Acanthosepion pharaonis
Lineage: Eukaryota; Metazoa; Mollusca; Cephalopoda; Sepiida; Sepiidae
Source: the annotation of a GenBank genome assembly